CAGUAGCCGCGGUAAUACGAAGGUCCCGAGCGUUGUUCGGAAUCACUGGGCGUAAAGGGAGCGUAGGCGGCGUGGUAAGUCAGAUGUGAAAUCCCGGGGCUCAACCCCGGAACUGCAUCCGAUACUGCCGUGCUAGAGGAUUGGAGAGGUAGCUGGAAUUCUUGGUGUAGCAGUGAAAUGCGUGGAGAUCAAGAGGAGCACUCGUGGCGAAAGCGAGCUACUGGACAAUAUCUGACGCUGAGGCUCGAAGGCCAGGGUAGCGAAAGGGAUUAGAUACCCCAGUAGUCCCUGUCUCUUAUAC
This 301-nucleotide ribosomal RNA is filed under the name uncultured bacterium. Its description in RNAcentral is "partial 16S ribosomal RNA". It matches the Rfam family "Bacterial small subunit ribosomal RNA", at positions 509 to 807 of the family's 1533-position model. The record is from RNAcentral.